UGCAGUCGAGGGGUAUUAGGAGCUUGCUCCUAAGAGACCGGCGCACGGGUGCGUAACGCGUAUGCAAUCUACCUUGUACAGAGGAAUAGCCCAGAGAAAUUUGGAUUAAUGCCUCAUAGUAUAUUGGGUCGGCAUCGACCUAUUAUUAAAGAUUUAUCGGUACAAGAUGAGCAUGCGUCCCAUUAGUUAGUUGGUAAGGUAACGGCUUACCAAGACGAUGAUGGGUAGGGGUCCUGAGAGGGAGAUCCCCCACACUGGUACUGAGACACGGACCAGACUCCUACGGGAGGCAGCAGUGAGGAAUAUUGGGCAAUGGAGGCAACUCUGACCCAGCCAUGCCGCGUGCAGGAAGACGGUCCUAUGGAUUGUAAACUGCUUUUAUACGGGAAGAAACACUCCGACGUGUCGGAACUUGACGGUACCGUAAGAAUAAGGAUCGGCUAACUCCGUGCCAGCAGCCGCGGUAAUACGGAGGAUCCAAGCGUUAUCCGGAAUCAUUGGGUUUAAAGGGUCCGUAGGCGGCCUUAUAAGUCAGUGGUGAAAUCUCCUAGCUCAACUAGGAAACUGCCAUUGAUACUGUAGGGCUUGAAUUAUUGUGAAGUAACUAGAAUAUGUAGUGUAGCGGUGAAAUGCUUAGAUAUUACAUGGAAUACCAAUUGCGAAGGCAGGUUACUAACAAUCGAUUGACGCUGAUGGACGAAAGCGUGGGUAGCGAACAGGAUUAGAUACCCUGGUAGUCCACGCCGUAAACGAUGGAUACUAGCUG
This 766-nucleotide ribosomal RNA is filed under the name uncultured bacterium. RNAcentral's name for it is "bacterial SSU rRNA". It matches the Rfam family "Bacterial small subunit ribosomal RNA", at positions 56 to 822 of the family's 1533-position model. The record is from RNAcentral.